UGGGAGGGGAAGCUCCACACUGAGGACGCGGAGGUGGUUUCAGACCGCAGCGCCCGGGCUCCUCCUCCCGCGCUACCCAGGGAGGCGGGCUGUGCUCUUUCCAAGGUCCCGCCAAAGGGCCCCGCCAUCCCGCAAUGAGACCUUCGCAGCCUUCCCUCCUACACUAGGCCGGGGGCCGCCGGACCGGAAGCUGCGGGGUCUCGGGGCCCCGGCUCGUUCUCACUUAGCCGCAAGCCGCGGGUGCGCAUGCUCCGCGAAGGCCCGCACAGGGCCCGGGUGAACCCUGAUAGAGCCAUCGCAAGGCGGGCUGUUUUCAUGGGCGUGCUAGGAGUUAACUCCUGGGAUGGAAAUACUACCAGGAGCGGUGAGAAGCAAGACCUAGAAAGCUCGGAGGAAGUGGGUGGAAGGUGGAGCUCUUGUCUGUCUCCUCGGCUGCUAAUCCCAGCCCCAGAUUCCGAAAGGGGAGCCCCGUGCCUCCUGAAAUGUGAGAAAAUCCUUCCACCUCACCCAACCUGGCUGCCAGUUCCUCGCUGAACCAGAUCUUUUCGCUCACAGGCUCAUUCUCGGCAGAUGGUUAUUGCUGGAAUGGUGGUGGUUUGGGGAACUCUUUUUUGCUGAGAUGGUGAAGUGGGAAGUCUCUCCCCAGGCAGAGAUGGAUGCCUCGGGCCAAGAAAGAUGAAGGUCAUGUAUUCAUAAAGGCAAGAAAGGAAAACACAUUCAUAAAUUUUCAAAUAUCCUUUUAUGCUUGAAAUGUUACCAGCAUUGGAUAAUGGAACCAAAGGAAACAUAACAGACACCCCAAGCCCACCACAGACUUUCCUACAGAUGUGAACAAACCUCCUACAUACAGGUAGAUGCACUUCCACAAGACACGUCACGAGGCAUGGAAUCCCCACCACACGCGUGCUGAACCUUGCAGAACUGUCUAGCUUUCUGACUAACUGGCCUAACGUGAUAGUGUUUAUUCUCCUGAGUGGACUUUCAUAUGGCUCCAAUCUUGCCACCUGCUGUAUUGAAUGUUGGGUUCACAACUACCACUCUUUUGGGGGCUCAGCAUGGUUUGGGGGAGGAGGCCAGACUUGCCUUCAUCUCCAGGAGCUAAAUCAAGUCUUGGCCUUGCCUGAGAUUUUAGGACCCCUGGCCUCUUCCCACCCCCUUGUCCUUUGUAAGUACAGGAUCCUGCCCCUGGGUGAUGGUCUCAAUUUCUCUGUGUUUGCCCAAGACUGGCUCUUGUUCCUCGUCUCCAUUCCCCAGGGCCAGGUGUCCCCCAUUUGGACCAGGCUUUGAGGUGGGCCCAACCGGGAAGUCCCUUGGGCAUCCUGGGACCUGGGGGAGAGGUCUCUGCACGAAGGGGAGGGCAAGGCAGCUCAACCAAGCCCAAGGGGCCACCUCAAUGGCCUUCCACAGCCCCUGGCUGAGUGGACGGACACUGCUCCCAACGUGGGCUUUGACCCAGAGCCAGGCUUGGGCAGGUAGUGAGGCUCCAUGUCCCAGAAUGUUAGAGUGAACUGGGGGCUUUGAAAUUAUCUAGUCCAGCCACUUCAUUUUAUAAGCUAGAAAACUUGAGUCUCUGAGAUGGGAAGGGAUGUGCCUGAGGUCACCCCGUGAAUCUUCAACCUCAGGUCUUAGCUCCGACUCUAAUUUCAGCGUGUCACAGGAUGAGCCUCUGGUGGGGGUGAAGACUAAAGCUCCCUAAGUGCACAAGUUAUGGAAAUUCAGGACAAACCAGAGAUGCAGGCAUCCUUGCUCUGGGUGACUGACUACAAUUUUAAUCCAGACCCAAGGACACCUUUUUGAAAAAACUUUGGCGGUUGUGUGGCUGUGACUUGGAAGACACCUCUGCUCCCAGUCAGGGGCCCAGCUCUGAGCCACAUGAAGACUUCUGGCCUGAAAAGAUCUGAACACCCCUCCUUAAUGAAUUUGCAUUUAACUGAGAAACAACCCUCAUGCAAAUCUGCGUUUACCCCAUUUUUCCCCUGGACUGUUCUCUCUAUUGGCAAAUGUUAACUUAGGCACUUCCUGUGCGCCAGGCUCUGUUCUUUGCACUUUACCUGUUACUCAUUUAACCCUCCCAGGAACUAUCAUCGUCUUCAUCUUCAUCAUCAUCAUCAUCCCCAUUUUAUCCAUUAGGAGACUGGUACAAAGGGAUUAAGUAAUUUGCCUGAGGCCCCCAGGUUAGAAAGGGGCAGAGUGAGGGCCCAAUCCCAGGCAGUGCCCCUUCCACACCAGAGCUGUGAGCCUGGACCUCCAGUAGGAUGGUCACCCAUCACCGCCAGCUGCUCCCCUAGACAGUUCUGAGACUCUCACUCCCAGUGACCCCCUGGUCCAGUGAGAAGAAAGCUCAGGCAGGCAGAGAGCUGCACACGAGCCCCAGACAUUGUGCCAUCUUAAGAUCCAGAUCCUCGACCUGCAUAGCCUUGCAGAACUGAGACCUACACCUGAGCCUGGUUACGCACACAUCCCGGCUUCCCUGGCCUUCAAGAAGCUGUGGCUGAUGAAACUUAAAAGCUUUUGCACAGCAAAGGAAACAAUAAACAAGAUGAAAAGACAACCCUCAGAAUGGGAGAAGAUAUUUGCAAACGAAGCAACUGACAAAGGAUUAAUCUCUAAAAUAGACAAGCAGCUUGUGUAGCUCAAUGUAAAAAAAACAAACAACCCAAUCCAAAAAUGGGCAGAUGACCUAAAUAGACAUUUCUCCAAAGAAGAUAUACAGAUUGCCAACAAACACAUGAAAAGCUGCUCAACAUCACUAAUCAUUAGAGAAAUGCAAAUCAGAACCACCUUGAGGUAUCACCUCACACCCGUCAGAAUGGCCAUCAUCAAAAAAAUCUAGAAACAAUAAAUGCUGGAGAGGGUGUGGAGAAAAGGGAACCCUCUUGCACUGUUGGUGGGAAUGUAAAUUAAUACAGCCACUAUGGAGAACAGUAUGGAGGUUUCUUAAAAAAACUAAAAAUAGAACUACCAUAUGACCCAGCAAUCCCACUACUGGGCAUAUACCCUGAGAAAACCAUAAUUCAAAAAGAGUCAUGUACCACAGUGUUCAUUGCAGCUCUAUUUACAAUAGCCAGGACAUGGAAGCAACCUAAGUGUCCAUUGACGGAUGAAUGGAUAAAGAAGAUGUGGCACAUAUAUACAAUGGAAUAUUAUUACUGAGCCAUAAAAAGGAACGAAAUUGAGUUAUUUAUAGUGAGGUGGAUGGACCUAGAGUCUGUCAUACAGAGUAAAGUAAGUCAGAAAGAGAUAAAUACCAUAUGCUAACACAUAUAUAUGGAAUCUAAAAAAAAAAAAGUUCUGAAGAACCCAGGGGCAGGACAGGAAUAAAGAUGCAGACAGAGAGAAUGCACUUGAGGACACAGGAAGGGGGAAGGGUAAGCUGGGACGAAGUGAGAGAGUGGCAUGGACAUAUAUACACUACCAAAUGUAAAAUAGAUAGCUAGUGGGAAGCAGCCGCAUAGCACAGGGAGAUCAGCUGGGUGCUUUGUGACCACCUAGAGGGGUGGGAUAGGGAGGGUGGGAGGGAGACGCAAGAAGGAGGAGAUAUGGGGAUAUAUGUAUAUGUAUAGCUGAUUCACUUUGUUAUACAACAGAAACUAACACACCAUUGUAAAGUAAUUAUACUGCAAUAAAGAUGUUAAAUUUAAAAAAAGUCCUCAUAAAGAUU
Molecule: non-coding RNA, 3661 nt
Organism: Kogia breviceps (pygmy sperm whale)
Lineage: Eukaryota; Metazoa; Chordata; Mammalia; Artiodactyla; Physeteridae
Source: RefSeq, a predicted model, not a curated record